This 21-nucleotide non-coding RNA is filed under the name Rattus norvegicus (Norway rat). The record is from RNAcentral. Lineage: Eukaryota; Metazoa; Chordata; Mammalia; Rodentia; Muridae.
CCACGGCCUUAAGCACCCUUA